UGGUGGAGUGAUUUGUCUGGUUAAUUCCGUUAACGAACGAGACCGCUGCCUGCUAAAUAGUCCCGGGAGUGAAUUUCACUGCCGAGGACUUCUUAGAGGGACGUGCAUUCUUUUAGUUGCAGGAAGGUAGCGGCAAUAACA
RNAcentral lists this ribosomal RNA (141 nucleotides) under uncultured eukaryote. RNAcentral's name for it is "partial 18S ribosomal RNA". It matches the Rfam family "Eukaryotic small subunit ribosomal RNA", at positions 1299 to 1458 of the family's 1831-position model. The record is from RNAcentral.